UACGUAGGGUGCGAGCGUUAAUCGGAAUUACUGGGCGUAAAGCGUGCGCAGGCGGUAUGUUAAGUCUGAUGUGAAAGCCCCGGGCUCAACCUGGGAAUGGCAUUGGAAACUGGCUUGCUGGAGUGUGGCAGAGGGGGGUGGAAUUCCGCGUGUAGCAGUGAAAUGCGUAGAUAUGCGGAGGAACACCGAUGGCGAAGGCAGUCCCCUGGGCCUGUACUGACGCUCAUGCACGAAAGCGUGGGGAGCAAACAGG
This 253-nucleotide ribosomal RNA is filed under the name uncultured bacterium. Its description in RNAcentral is "partial 16S ribosomal RNA". It matches the Rfam family "Bacterial small subunit ribosomal RNA", at positions 524 to 776 of the family's 1533-position model. The record is from RNAcentral.